AUGCCCCACCUGACUGUUUUUGAAGGGUGACUCUGUGACCCUUGCUCCAUCCUAUUUCUGUCUCUGCCUCUGCCUCUGCCUCUACCUCUUUGCUGCCCUUAGGUGAGCAGUUUUCCUCUGCUGGGCCCUUCCCCCAUGAUGGGCUGCCUCGCUUUAGGCCCAGAGCAAUUGAGUUGGCCAUCUGUGGUCUGAGUCUUCUGAACCUGUGAUCCCCAGGCCCAGAAGCAAUGAAGCCUAGUGACUAUGGAUGAAAACUUCAGAAACUGGGGAAAAAUACAGAACUGAUGGAAGACAGCUGAAAACAGUCAGCAGCAGAAAGUCCGGCACUACCGGCAUCUGAUCUUAAUCAUAAUAUAUCCUCUGUCUGGUUUGUCAAAAUCUAUCACUCAAGAACACCUUCAAUGGACAGUAAUUUGAGGUGUGGCUUAUUAGAUCACACGAUCUUAUGAAUAAUAAAAAGUUAUGGAAAAUUGCA
This is a non-coding RNA of Ictidomys tridecemlineatus (thirteen-lined ground squirrel), 475 nucleotides long. Lineage: Eukaryota; Metazoa; Chordata; Mammalia; Rodentia; Sciuridae. The record is from RefSeq and is a predicted model, not a curated record.